Paramuricea clavata is the source of this 264-nucleotide non-coding RNA. NCBI's taxonomy places the organism in Eukaryota, Metazoa, Cnidaria, Anthozoa, Malacalcyonacea, Plexauridae. The record is from the annotation of a GenBank genome assembly.
CUUAAACAUUGAGAGCGCAAGGACAAGGUAUAGUGGGUAACUUCCUAUUUAGAGUCUCAAACUCGAGUAACUUGUGCGCAAGCCAUUUUAGAUUUGUCUUUUGGCGUUUGAAUUUAGGCUAAUUUAAUAGCUCAGCACUUUUUUGCAUAAUCAUAUAGAGGGCAAAAUUACUCAAAUAUGAUUGCCUAAUAUGAUGAGAGCAUUUUUUCUUAAAAUUCAGGGCAAAAUUACUGUACCUAUAAAUUAGCUGAGACGCAAGCGCGG